Molecule: long non-coding RNA, 823 nt
Filed under: Lathyrus oleraceus (garden pea)
Lineage: Eukaryota; Viridiplantae; Streptophyta; Magnoliopsida; Fabales; Fabaceae
Description: Pisum sativum (pea) long non-coding RNA (PSAT_LNC020348)
Source: RNAcentral
AUAUGAAACACACAUAAUUAAGAGGCUAUGAUAUAAUUCAAAACUGAGAGAGAAGAACACGAUUUAAAUAAAAUUCAGCACAAUAAACCAUUUUUGAAAGAAAAAAAAGAAAAAAAAAUUAUUAUAUGGCAAUACAAUAAUUAAAUUAUAGUUCAGAAAAUACUCCUGAAGAACAUUUGUGUACUCUCUUAGGUAAAAACGAAAUGCAAAAUCAUUUGGAAACAUAACGAAGGAUAGAGGUUACUCUAACACAAGUACAUUUUUUGUUGUCACACUUCACCAUCCUUGGUGGCUGGCACAGAUGAGUAAAACAAUCACCAUCGCGUACACAUUUAGCAAUUCCUAUAUUGAAAAAUUAUAAUAAAAGUUAAGAUUAUAUUUGAUAAAACGUUAUGCAUAAAUUAACAAAUAAAUUUUGUAAAUGUUAUAAAAUGGAUUACUUCCAUGGUUGGAUGGCACCAGCAAUAUAGAAAUAAAGAUAAUCAUAAUAUAAACAAACUUUAGAGUUUCAGCCAUAUUUCUUCCUCUCUAUUUAAGAAAUGAUUUUAUGAAUUUAUAUCUUUUAAAGUUGGUACUCACCUUACAUCAAUUUAUAUCUUUUUUUUUUCUUUCAAAUAUAUCAAUGUAUUGUAUUUAUCCCUUAGCAUAUUUAGUAAGCAUUUUAGAUUAAAAAAACCAACCAAUUUUAAUAAAUAGUUUAAACCUUUUAUAACAUGAAAGAUUAAAACACAAAAGCUAAAUAGUAUUAUAAGAAAUAUUAUUUAUGAAUAUAUGGAGUGUAUUGUUGGAUACGAUUUAAAAUUCAAAUGUGGUGCAAUAGUUG